RNAcentral lists this long non-coding RNA (1096 nucleotides) under Daucus carota (carrot). RNAcentral's name for it is "long non-coding RNA (DCAR_LNC005217)". Lineage: Eukaryota; Viridiplantae; Streptophyta; Magnoliopsida; Apiales; Apiaceae. The record is from RNAcentral.
GGAAAUUUAGACAAUAAGACUUUAAUGUCCGAAAAGAAAAUCCGUCUUCUUCCAAGAGUCCUGAAAAUAAAACAGAGGAAACAAGAAGAAUAUAAGUCGAUAUAUAUAACAGAUUAUAUAUAUUAUAAAAAUAAAAAUAAAAAAUAUAUCCAAUAAAUAAUUAUUAACAAAAUCGCGUGUAUAUGCAUGUGGUGAUAAAAAAUUACACAAUUAUGAUAAAUCAUAAUUGAGACAAUUAAACUCUUAAUUAAGGCACAAUUAAUAAAAUAUUAACGCCCUUAAUUAAGACACAAAUAACGCCCUCAAAUAAGGCACAAUUAACAUCCUCAAUUAGAGGCACAAUUUACGCCCAAUAAGGCACAAUUUACGCCCUCAUAAUUAUGAGGCACAAUUAACGUCAUCAAUUAACGCCUUCCUUUCUGAAUUAUCCCGUACUGAUCGGAAUGUUGUCGCCACAACCCUCAGCCACCACCGCUAUCACCGCUAAGCUAUCUCUCCCGCACACCACCGUAAAAAAGACAAUGACCAUCCGAAUUAUAUCCAUCCACAUACACAAGCAAGCCCUCUAGUUUCGCUCCUGCAACACAACACAAUACUCCUUGCUUUCUCCGUUUGAUCCAUCUCCGCAAUGUCCUCACUCCGAUGACAAAUUCUCACGCCGGUAUCACUAGCGGUGAAAACCGAGAACUUCUGAUCGGAAACAUAGUCUCUAGUGAGCAGAUCGGUGGCCUUUUGCCGAUGUUUGUGCAGGAGUAGCCAUGGGAGUCGGAGAAUCAAGGAUAUUCACAAACGGCAGCGUAUCGGAGUUUGAUGGGCUGAAACUUUGAAUUCAGCGGAGAGUAAAUUUAACACCUUUUUGAUCUGAAAGUGAGCCUUCAAUAUUCAUGCACCAAUAGCUUAGGCUAACAAACACAUGGUUCAAGAUGACAAAGGACAUGUUUUGUUUCUACCAAGUCACAGAAAUUAACUACAGGAUUUAACACUCAUUCACAUGACACAUACGACCGAACCCACUAAGCCAAACACACCAUCUUCUCUCUCUUUUAGUUAACUUUUUCCUCUCAUUUAUAUAAAAUAAAUAUAAAAUGUGAAUAAG